GAUGAACGCUGGCGGCGUGCCUAAUACAUGCAAGUCGAGCGAACGGACGAGAAGCUUGCUUCUCUGAUGUUAGCGGCGGACGGGUGAGUAACACGUGGAUAACCUACCUAUAAGACUGGGAUAACUUCGGGAAACCGGAGCUAAUACCGGAUAAUAUUUUGAACCGCAUGGUUCAAAAGUGAAAGACGGUCUUGCUGUCACUUAUAGAUGGAUCCGCGCUGCAUUAGCUAGUUGGUAAGGUAAAGGCUUACCAAGGCAACGAUGCAUAGCCGACCUGAGAGGGGGAUCGGCCACAUGGGAUGUGAGACACGGCCCCGACUCCUACGCGAGGCAGCAGCAGGACGUCUUCCGCAAUGGGCGAAAGCCUGACUGAGCAACGCCGCGUGAGUGACGAAGUUCUACGGUUCGUAAAACUCUGUUAUUAGGGAAGAACAUAUGUGUAAGUAACCGUGCAGAUCUUGACGGUACCGAAUCAGAAAGACACGGCUAAAUACGC
Molecule: ribosomal RNA, 496 nt
Filed under: uncultured bacterium
Lineage: Bacteria
Description: partial 16S ribosomal RNA
Rfam family: Bacterial small subunit ribosomal RNA
Source: RNAcentral